CCAGCGGUGGAUCCAGCCUCAGAUCCUGGCACGGUGAUAGUUCAAGGCACACCGCCAGGUCCAGCCAUGAUGGGUCACGGCACAGUGAUGUCAGGUCCAGACAUGACGGGUCACGAAACAGGUCCAGACAUGAUGACCGAUCCCAUGGUGAUGCCCACAGUCUCCCGGCCAGGUCCAGACAUGACAGAGCACAGCAUGGUGAUCUCAACAGCCUCCACUAUGACAGGCAUGAUGCAGUGACUGAGACUGGGAGAUGGGCCUUCCCAUUGCCUUGGGAUGGUAAGUAUUGAUCUAUUGGCAGUGGAGAAAACCCUUUUAAUUGUACCACCUUCACUGUUCCCUGUCCACAGAAACUGCUUUUCAGUUAUAGCCGUAGCUUGGUUUCCAUCAUGUUAGAUGAUAUUUCUUUGGACUUUUGUUUCUUUCUUUA
Molecule: non-coding RNA, 430 nt
Organism: Gasterosteus aculeatus aculeatus (three-spined stickleback)
Lineage: Eukaryota; Metazoa; Chordata; Actinopteri; Perciformes; Gasterosteidae
Source: RefSeq, a predicted model, not a curated record